This 495-nucleotide ribosomal RNA is filed under the name uncultured bacterium. RNAcentral's name for it is "partial 16S ribosomal RNA". It matches the Rfam family "Bacterial small subunit ribosomal RNA", at positions 28 to 507 of the family's 1533-position model. The record is from RNAcentral.
GACGAACGCUGGCGGCGUGCCUAAUACAUGCAAGUAGAACGGUGACGGAGGAGCUUGCUUCUCUGGCUGAGUUGCGAACGGGUGAGUAACGCGUAGGCAACCUGCCUGGUAGCGGGGGAGAAGUUUUGGAAACGAUAGCUAAUAUAGCACAAGAGUAGAUGUCGGAUGACAUUUGCUUAAAAGGUGGACUUGCAUCACUACCAGAUGGAGCUGUGUUGUAUUAGAUAGUUGGUGAGGUAAGGGCUCACCAAGGCAACGAUACAUAGCCGAGCUGGGAGGGUGGUCGGCCACCCUGGGACUGAGACACGGCCCAGACCCCUACGGGGGGCAGCAGGAGGGAAUCUUCGGCAAUGGACGGAAGUCUGACCGAGCAACGCCGGGUGAGUGAAGAAGGUUUUCGGAUCGUAAAGCUCUGUUGUAAGAGAAGAACGAGUGUGAGAGUGGAAAGUUCACGCUGUGACGGUAUCUAACCAGAAAGGGACGGCUAACUACGUG